CCAGAUGGGAAUGUGACACAGUCAGUCACCCAAUCCAAAAAGAUGCCACUUCAUGUGGUGUCUAUGCAUUAAAGUUUGCUGAGUGCAUCCUGAGUGGCCUUCCUGUUGCAUUUGACAACUCGGUGAAAACCAUACAUGAAAUGAGAGAGCAGAUUGCGAUCUGCCUCCUGGAAAACACAGACGACUUGACUGAACUUUGCCAUCUUUGUGGGCUGGUGAAUGGUGACACCCACUGGAUUGGGUGUGACUUGUGCCCACGAUGGUAUCACCGAAACUGCCUGAAAAAGAAAACAGGGAAAAAGUUUGUCUGUGAAGUGUGUCAGAAGAAGAAAUAAUGUCUUCAUUUGGCUGAUUACUACUUUGAAUUUUUUUAUUUUUUUUUUUAUUUUUUUUUUUAAUUUUUUUAUUUU
Melanotaenia boesemani (Boeseman's rainbowfish) is the source of this 410-nucleotide long non-coding RNA. RefSeq lists it as uncharacterized. The transcript has 4 exons. The record is from RefSeq and is a predicted model, not a curated record. NCBI's taxonomy places the organism in Eukaryota, Metazoa, Chordata, Actinopteri, Atheriniformes, Melanotaeniidae.